Molecule: ribosomal RNA, 495 nt
Filed under: uncultured bacterium
Lineage: Bacteria
Description: partial 16S ribosomal RNA
Rfam family: Bacterial small subunit ribosomal RNA
Source: RNAcentral
GAUGAACGCUGGCGGCGUGCCUAAUACAUGCAAGUAGAACGCUGAAGGAGGAGCUUGCUCUUCUGGAUGAGUUGCGAACGGGUGAGUAACGCGUAGGUAACCUGCCUGGUAGCGGGGGAUAACUAUUGGAAACGAUAGCUAAUACCGCAUGACAACAGUUAUUGCAUGAUAACUGUUUAAAAGGGGCAACUGCUCCACUACCAGAUGGACCUGCGUUGUAUUAGCUAGUUGGUGAGGUAACGGCUCACCAAGGCGACGAUACAUAGCCGACCUGAGAGGGGGAUCGGCCACACUGGGACUGAGACACGGCCCAGGCGCCUACGGGAGGCAGCAGUAGGGAAUCUUCGGCAAUGGACGGAAGUCUGACCGAACAACGCCGCGUGAGUGAAGGAGGUUUUCGGAUCGUAAAGCUCUGUUGUAAGAGAAGAACGAGUGUGAGAGUGGAAAGUUCACACUGUGACGGUAUCUUACCAGAAAGGAACGGCUAACUACGUG